CUUGGAGACUCCUACGGGAGGCAGCAGUGGGGAAUUUUGGACAAUGGGCGCAAGCCUGAUCCAGCCAUGCCGCGUGUCUGAAGAAGGCCUUCGGGUUGUAAAGGACUUUUGUCAGGGAAGAAAAGGCUGUUGCUAAUAUCGACAGCUGAUGACGGUACCUGAAGAAUAAGCACCGGCUAACUACGUGCCAGCAGCCCCGGUAAUACGUAGGGUGCGAGCGUUAAUCGGAAUUACUGGGCGUAACGCGAGCGCAGACGGUGAAUUAAGCAGGAUGUGAAAUCCCCGGGCUCAACCUGGGAAUUGCGUUCUGAACUGGGUGACUAGAGUGUGUCAGAGGGAGGUAGAAUUCCACGUGUAGCAGUGAAAUGCGUAGAGAUGUGGAGGAAUACCGAUGGCGAAGGCAGCCUCCUGGGAUAACACUGACGUUCAUGCUCGAAAGCGUGGGUAGCAAACAGGAUUAGAAACCCCGGUAGUCCUAUC
RNAcentral lists this ribosomal RNA (480 nucleotides) under uncultured bacterium. RNAcentral describes it as "bacterial SSU rRNA". It matches the Rfam family "Bacterial small subunit ribosomal RNA", at positions 328 to 800 of the family's 1533-position model. RNAcentral also lists the same sequence under 1 other name. The record is from RNAcentral.